RNAcentral lists this transfer RNA (75 nucleotides) under Chloroflexota bacterium. RNAcentral's name for it is "Chloroflexi bacterium tRNA-Met". It matches the Rfam family "tRNA". From Rfam's summary of the family: Transfer RNA (tRNA) molecules are approximately 80 nucleotides in length. RNAcentral also lists the same sequence under 1 other name. The record is from RNAcentral. Lineage: Bacteria; Bacillati; Chloroflexota.
GGCAACGUAGCUCAGCGGCAGAGCGGGCGCUUCAUAAGCGCUAGGUCGCAGGUUCGAAUCCCGCCGUUGCCACCA